Molecule: RNA transcript, 4999 nt
Organism: Hypanus sabinus (Atlantic stingray)
Lineage: Eukaryota; Metazoa; Chordata; Chondrichthyes; Myliobatiformes; Dasyatidae
Gene name: hepatoma-derived growth factor-related protein 2-like
Exons: 5
Source: RefSeq, a predicted model, not a curated record
AACCCAAACAAUUGUCAUUUUGUCCGGAUCACUGGCCCCGCUUGCAGGGCAACAGUCUGCCGGUGUUUGCCCCCAAUGUGGUGAAUCCCUCUGCUCGACACCACCGUGGGCCCAGACAUUUCCACAGAUGAGCCCCUCCUGUCCCCACCGGGACAAACAUCCUGUCCGCCCCCUCUCUCACCAUCUUCAUCCUGUCGAUAAAAUCCCUCCCCGGGGAACCGGCAUCGAACCGACGGGCCGAGCGGUCUCCUCCUACCUCUCAGCCAUACAUCAGACUCGGGCCGCGGGAGACGCUUCAGAAACGCCCCGACUUCCCUCGGAGGGAAAUGGAAAUAAAUCAGAAAGCGGACAUUUACUUUGAGGUUUUCUCCGCCCUGAGGAGCGGGAGACGGACUCAGCGGGGUAACGCCCACUCGGCCUGUCCGCCUCCGCGACUGGUUGUAACCGGUGACUGACAUCGCUUCGCACCAAUGGGAAUAGCGCAGCUCCUGAUUCCUCUGUUGACAGCGGUGCGGGAGGGGUUGGUCACGUGAUUAUUAGCCCAGCCGUUCAACCGAUAAAGCUCGAGCAGAGCAGCGCGUGGGUGACGUAAGACACCGCGCACGUGAGGGCAGAUCCCGGCGUGGGAAGCCCAUGUGUGACGUCAGGCGCAUGGGAGGAGGAGCUGUGUGACGUCACCUGUGGGAGAGCGCUGGCAUUUAAAAGCACCUUAACGGACCUUUCAGUGGGUCAACAACAUUAAUGACGGGUUUCAUCACUGGAUCCAGUGUUGUGAGAUGUAAAGUCCCCUGUUAUGUGUCCGGCUGUGCCGUGUUGUUGGUGGAGUGGGCAGCGUGGUGUUUGUCUCGAUUCGGGUCACAACACCAGAAUUGCCAGCGGGUCCACACACAGUGUAUUAAUCAACAGAAAACCUCUCGUCCCUGCAGUCUUUGUCUCCUGGUAAACUCAACACCCUGACAGUGUGGACCAUAGAUACCCCUUCCUCUCAGAGUCUGGGGAUCACUCAGACAGCUGAUCGCUGAGAGGAAUUAUAUUUAUUGGUCAUUAAAGUUCACCCGGAUUCGUUUGGACGGAUUUGAUGUGGAGUUCGGGGUGUCACAGUGAAAGGGCCGGACGGCCGAACUCUCUCCGUUGUCCAAACAUCCUUCCAGCCACUAGUGGCGCUGCAUGGACCUCCAGAGAUUGGCGGCGCUGCUUGGACCUCUGGCCCCAGGUGGCGCUGUGCGGCCCUCCGGCCACGGGUGGCGCUGCGGAGAAACGCCUGCUAUACGCACGCGCAGUGCUCUCUGCAGCUGUUUGCAGAUCUCCCAUACGAGCGGGGCCACCUAAAUUGGAACCAAGUAAUCAAGUAUGAAAAAAGAAUGUCUGAUGAACUGUUUCUAAGGCCAGGAAUAUUGCUGAAUAUUCGUCUCAAAAGUGUUAGACCUGCAGUGAGAGAUUUAUUGGAAGAAAAACCACGACUGAAGACGAGGGAACAGCAACAAGUGAACCAGCCCGAGGACUGAGAGCACCGACUGGAGAGAACCCAUCUGACUCGGAGAUUCCAGUGAUUCAGUCAGGAGAAAGAUUGGUGUAUAGAAGAGUCUGAUCUGGGAUCCACGUGUGGUGCGAACUGGGAGACGCUGCCCGAUAGGAUAAUGAUCCUCUUAUCGCGCUCGGUCGCAUCCGUUUCCUCUGGUGAUCGAAAUAACUUUCGCAUAGCCUGGGCUGACGAGAUGCCAUAUUCAUCAACGACUACAACCGCGCUCCGGAUGCACGAAGGAGCAAAACUGCACCUCGACGUCACGGCAAAUUUUAUGCGGGUGGCACGCUUUCUACAUCUCAAAGAGAGACGUAUACAAUGAUGGUGCAUUGAUGCCAGUCAGCACGAUAUCCCGAUAUUUACUUUUAUAUUUCUGUAUCUAGAUCCUGCUCGGUAUUUAAUAACUCACUGUCAUUUAUUCCGAAUAUGUUGUGACGUCAUGGAACGGUAUCUGAUUAUUCAGCGCGCCGGCGGCAGCCCUGGUAGUUGUAGUUAGAGUUGUACAAUCAUGCAAUCCAACAUCGUGCAUUAGCGAAACAAGAAGACGGAUCGAGUAGGACUUCCCGGUCCCAGCGUCACCGGUUAGUAAUAACAUCAUAGACGUGUCCCUGGUGAGAAAGAAUAAAUCUAAUACUCCAUAAGCCCACUCCGUCUGCAUCUGAUGAGCAAACGUCUGUAAGCGGCGCCCCGCUGGGUCACACACGGUGUGUUCAUGCUCAUAGCUCGCUGACAUAACUGAUCGUUAAGUGGUCGUCCAGACACUAGCCAGAUGAGUACGGUUGCCACAGCAGAGAGAUCUAAUAGUGGGCCGACUACAGAGACGCCUUCCCUUGGAUUCGUCAAAUUGCAGGUUGAUUAUGAUAUCAGAAUUGCACAAAUGGCAUAGAUAUACAAACUAUCAUAACUAGGUAUAACCUGUAUUCACCGAUGUAUAUUAUAUAUACCACCUAUUUGUCACCAGGUGUAAACAAUAGUUUGGUAUAACAACACCUAUAAUUUACGCGCUGUAUUUGACAAACUAUUGUCAGGUCUACCACGUCGGAGCUCGGCAGUAUUGGGACAGGUCGAUUCGUCAAAUUGCAGGUCGUGAAGUAAAGCAAGUGUUUGAUCAGCAGAUUAAUGUAGAAGUCUGAGAAUAGCGAUGAACUGUCUGUGCGAUUCCAGGAAUCGCACAGCAUCGGCCGUUGUGUAAAAGGAACAGGUGGAAGCAGAUAGAUGGUCGGGACAAUUGAUAUAUUUCCCCAGAUCGGUGAGUGUCACGUAGGCGUAUGGAACCAUCUGCAUCAGUACGAACCACGAAAUGAAUUCGCAAAAGAUAUUAGGGUACCAAACUGUAAUGAUAUCUUUCGUUGCAUGUAUUAGAUCUCCACUGAGCCCGAUUGCCGCAGAGGGGUCGGGGUCCGUCUGAAAGAGCUGAAAUAUGUAAUGAAUUAGCAAUUGUCUGCCAUCGAACGAGUUAGUCGUGUGUUCCAACGUUUGACGAAACAUUUCAUCAGAUGUAGCUAUCGAACACAUGUUGGAAUAGAAUUCAUUACGGGUCAAGAGGAUAAAUGUAUAUUCAGGUGUAUUUUUGUAUCGAUGCCGUAGAUGUUCGGGUAGCCGUUCCCGGCGCGCCCGUACAACAUCGUUUUCAUUCAGUCGUCUAUUCUGCAUCAGUGAAUCUAUUAAAACCAUUAAAGGCACAUCGUGAAGGGAGUCAUUGAUUACGCGCCCAUUUAGAUCGGUUGGAACCCCUGCCAUAUCAAUGUGCUUUCCCGUAUACGUGUGGAGCCUGAUCUUCAGAAUACGUCAAUUCUUUUACAGUCAUAUGACGCUACGUAAAUAUCAAAGAUUGAUAAACGACCCUGAAUUCGUUGGGCUUUUGAAAUGUAAUAGGAGCUAGCAGCUGCAAGCUCUUCUUCCUUUCAUUUGUAAUACCAGCAACACUUCGCUUUCUGGCAAUGAUACUUUGUGCAAUGGCGGUCGCGUGCACAUUCGCAAUGAUCUGCUUCAUAAGAGCUGUAUAAACAAUAAGCCCACCCGCAGGAGCAGCUGUUAUUAGCGUUCCUAAUGGUUCCAAGUUCAGCGUCAUGAUAACUAUUAAAUUCGUUUAAUAGUUUAAUCACAGUAUCAAGUCAUUUUAAUAUUAAUCUGCGGAAUACAAGCAUGAUUGCAACCGAAGUGCCGCAGAAACUGGUCGCCUCGGUCAUUUGAAAUUUGUGAUAAUACUGGGAAUAGCGAUAGGGAUAGGACACGGAGUGUCCUUACGAAGAAAUAGAGAACACACCCUCUUUACCAACAGGUCGUUUUUUUAUUUUUUGCAAGACUGGAAGAAACCACUGUCAUACCACCGCAUCUAAUGCUUCUUAUAUAAGAUACCAUGAAGAAGAUGUUUACCUGCCUCACCAACGGGUGGUUUGUGUAACUAACGAUAUCUCUCUGUAACAAAUAUGAUGUAAAUACUAAUGGCAAUGCAUUGUAUACAGCAAUCUAACUAUAUACUGGCAACGAUUAACUGCCCAGAAACACCUUAUAGUUCCGGUUGCGCGGAAAGUUCGUGCAUCCCCCCUCUACGGACCCUCCCCCCAGCGGAACACCCCUCGGACGACGGGAAUGGCAUCCCCAACGCCCAGACCAUACACGCUAUCCACUGGGCCAUUAUGCACCCACUCUUCCUCCGCAGACGUCCAUGCACCUGCACAGGCUGUAGUGGCCAUAUUACCCUGCCCGUGGACAGACAACAGACCCCAACACAUCAUCUCCAUACUGUACCAGACGGAUGCAUUUCAGUAGAUGGGUCGUCGACCAAGACAUUCGGAAUCUAUUAAACGAUACUACCGGGAUACUACAGGAAUUAGCCAAGGGGUUAAGGAAACCUAUCACAUCGCUGAUGGAUAAGGGGAAUGUACAGACAUCGUUAGCGGCCUACCGGCGAGGUCAACCUGUUGGACUACCACGGGAACGCCAUACUAGAUUGCUACAAAAAAGCACUCGUGCGUCGUUACCUCACCCGACUAACAGCAACAAAGAGGCAGAAAGCCACACUCGUGUUUUAGGACGAGUCGGACCCACGAUGGGGCACCUUACUAGCAGCGGACUUUCUAUCACGACCGGGACACAAUACCCCCAGUCAGCAAUUCGUCAAUUGCAUCAGAAUUAACAGCAAAUUCGGUUUUUGUCUCCUCCAUAAGUCAGCUAUGUAUCACUUGACCUGCGCCCGCCGUUUACUGUGUGACAUUUUCAACCACCCCGAAACAUCUCUAUCGGGUCUGUACGCGUGCUUAUACCGGAUUCACCUAGAAACGGCAUUGCUCAAUAAGUAAUUGUUCAAUAGAUCGGCUCUCGUUGAUAAGCUAUUACUGUGUAGAUAAAGUAUAUAGACUAAUUUAUAAAGACACGGCACCGUGCCGGUUGUACACAACAACAAUUCAGCUUGGUAUAUGAACUGUAUCAGACGUAUUUAUUAACACAAUGUACCCGCUAAUAGUUAUAAGUAAA